RNAcentral lists this ribosomal RNA (484 nucleotides) under uncultured bacterium. RNAcentral's name for it is "partial 16S ribosomal RNA". It matches the Rfam family "Bacterial small subunit ribosomal RNA", at positions 30 to 507 of the family's 1533-position model. The record is from RNAcentral.
AUUGAACGCUGGCGGCAGGCCUAACACAUGCAAGUCGAGCGGAUGAAGGGAGCUUGCUCCUGGAUUCAGCGGCGGACGGGUGAGUAAUGCCUAGGAAUCUGCCUGGUAGUGGGGGAUAACGUCCGGAAACGGGCGCUAAUACCGCAUACGUCCUGAGGGAGAAAGUGGGGGAUCUUCGGACCUCAGGCUAUCAGAUGAGCCUAGGUCGGAUUAGCUAGUUGGUGGGGUAAAGGCCUACCAAGGCGACGAUCCGUAACUGGUCUGAGAGGAUGACCAGUCACACUGGAACUGAGACACGGUCCAGACUCCUACGGGAGGCAGCAGUGGGGAAUAUUGGACAAAGGUCGAAAGCCUGAUCCAGCCAUGCCGCGUGUGUGAAGAAGGUCUUCGGAUUGUAAAGCACUUUAAGUUGGGAGGAAGGGCAGUAAGUUAAUACCUUGCUGUUUUGACGUUACCAACAGAAUAAGCACCGGCUAACUUCGUG